CCUACGGGGCAGCAGUGGGGAAUCUUGCGCAAUGGGCGAAAGCCUGACGCAGCAACGCCGCGUGCGGGAAGAAGGCCUUAGGGUUGUAAACCGCUUUCAGUAGGAACGAAAAUGACGGUACCUGCAGAAGAAGGUGCGGCCAACUACGUGCCAGCAGCCGCGGUGACACGUAGGCACCAAGCGUUGUCCGGAUUUAUUGGGCGUAAAGAGCUCGUAGGCGGUUCAGUAAGUCGGGUGUGAAAACUCUGGGCUUAACCCAGAGCCGCCACUCGAUACUGCUGUGACUUGAGUUCGGUAGGGGAGCAGGGAAUUCCUAGUGUAGCGGUGAAAUGCGCAGAUAUUAGGAGGAACACCGGUGGCGAAGGCGCUGCUCUGGGCCGAUACUGACGCUGAGGAGCGAAAGCGUGGGUAGCAAACAGGAUUAGAUACCCUGGUAGUCCACGCCGUAAACGUUGGGCACUAGGUGUGGGUUCCAACCAACGGAAUCCGCGCCGUCGCUAACGCAUUAAGUGCCCCGCCUGGGGAGUACGGCGGCAACGCUAAAACUCAAANAGAAUAGACGCGUGAGACGNGCCGACGACGACGACGAGGAGAG
Molecule: ribosomal RNA, 595 nt
Filed under: uncultured bacterium
Lineage: Bacteria
Description: bacterial SSU rRNA
Rfam family: Bacterial small subunit ribosomal RNA
Source: RNAcentral